GCAAAUACAAACAAUCUUUCAUAAAAAAGAAAAAAUUCAUCUCAGUGCCACAACUGCAACGAGUUUCAAUGCUAUUAACAGAGGACUCUAGUUCAUCCUAGUUCUUUAGCUUUUUUAGAACCCAAUCCUCAAGCUUUUCUCUGUACGAUGAAUAGGCCAAUUCUCAAGCACUGAGAAAACCAGAGAUAAAUUACAGCAACCCAAGAGAAUUGGUCUGCAAAUGAAUCAAAGCAAUUUUUCGAAACAUUUCCAUUUUGCGCAAACUUUGUU
RNAcentral lists this long non-coding RNA (270 nucleotides) under Amborella trichopoda. Its description in RNAcentral is "long non-coding RNA (ATRI_LNC003222)". The record is from RNAcentral. Lineage: Eukaryota; Viridiplantae; Streptophyta; Magnoliopsida; Amborellales; Amborellaceae.